This is a non-coding RNA of Streptomyces sp. HGB0020, 411 nucleotides long. It matches the Rfam family "Bacterial RNase P class A". Rfam says of the family: Ribonuclease P (RNase P) is a ubiquitous endoribonuclease, found in archaea, bacteria and eukarya as well as chloroplasts and mitochondria. Its best characterised activity is the generation of mature 5'-ends of tRNAs by cleaving the 5'-leader elements of precursor-tRNAs. Lineage: Bacteria; Bacillati; Actinomycetota; Actinomycetes; Kitasatosporales; Streptomycetaceae. The record is from Rfam.
CGAGCCGGGCGGACGGCCGCGUGGAGUCCUCUUGACGGAGAACUCCCCGAGGAACGUCCGGGCUCCACAGGGCAGGGUGAUGGCUAACGGCCACCCGGGGUGACCCGCGGGACAGUGCCACAGAAAACAGACCGCCCGGCACUUCGGUGCCGGGUAAGGGUGAAACGGCGGUGUAAGAGACCACCAGUGCCCAGGGCGACCUGAGCAGCUAGGUAAACCCCACCCGGAGCAAGGUCAAAAGGAGCCGCUGUAAAAGGCGCGCUCUGCGGGGACGUUCGAGGGCUGCCCGCCCGAGUCCCCGGGUAGACCGCACGAGGCCGACGGCAACGUCGACCCUAGAUGGAUGGCCGUCGCCCCGACUCCCGCGAGGGAGCCGGGGAACAGAACCCGGCGUACAGCCCGACUCGUCUG